Molecule: long non-coding RNA, 777 nt
Organism: Ictalurus punctatus (channel catfish)
Lineage: Eukaryota; Metazoa; Chordata; Actinopteri; Siluriformes; Ictaluridae
Exons: 3
Source: RefSeq, a predicted model, not a curated record
CCGGGAGAGAGAGAGAGGAGAGAGAGAGAGAGAGAGAGAGAGAGAGAGAGAGAGAGAGAGCGCGUUGCGCCACCGGAAGUUCAAAACGCUUGUUCGUCACGUGAUUCAUGUACACUUCAAGAAGUUAUUUGCGGGCUUUCUUAAACUUCUCGCACUACACCACCAUGUCCCUUUAGGGGCGCCGUACCGCUACAGCCUGGCAGAGGGUAUAUAAACUGAGGUUUGAGUCCAGCGCGCGCAUAACGGUCGUCCCUGCUGAGAGGAUCUCCAGACAGCGAGUGAGUUUUCCUGAGUGUCCUGAUUCUUUACACCUCUUGUCGUGAAAUCCAGACGACGCUCUUCAGGAAAAUGUCCACAGACUCCUGCUGCUACUGGCUCAGAUGUCAAGUUUAGUCAUGUGUCUGAUUUCUCUUUUCAUUUUUAAACUCUGAGAACUUGUUGAUAAUUAAAUAACCAUUACAACACUAUAUACAACAAGCAGAACACUUCCCAGCAAACACACCACCCUCUGAUGAUGACAGUGAUGUCACCACGUCUUGGUAAAGUUGGCAUUUGAAUAUAAUAUGGGAAAUUUACUAAAUGUAUCAAACAUUUUACUUAAAUACAUGAAUCGAGGUCUGAAUUUGAAUUUUAUUAUCUUUUGAUGUUUGUCAUACAUCAAUGGCAAAUCUCUGCAGCAAAAUGGUAAUUUACAACACCCAACAACCAUUCUGCUUAGUAAAUGGUGAUUAUUCAUAAUAUUAUAUCUUUGUGAAUGAAAGAGAUUUUUAAAAUGCU